AUAAUCACAUGAUUAGUAUGGUAAAGUUCCGACGGAAAGAGAUGGACAUGCGUGUCAUUAGUUAGUUGGUGAGGUAACGGCUCACCAAGACGACGAUGACUAGGGGUUCUGAAAGGAUGAUCCCCCACACUGGUACUGAGACACGGACCAGACUCCUACGGGAGGCAGCAGUGAGGAAUAUUGCGCAAUGGAGGCAACUCUGACGCAGCCAUGCCGCGUGCAGGAGGACGGCCCUACGGGUUGUAAACUGCUUUUCUUAACUAAGAACCGUGGAUAAUCUUAUCCACCUGACUGGUUUUGGAAUAAGCAUCGGCUAACUCCGUGCCAGCAGCCGCGGUAAUACGGAGGAUGCAAGCGUUAUCCGGAUUCACUAGGUUUAAAGGGUGCGUAGGCGGAAUAAUAAGUCAGUGGUGAAAUCUUGCGGCUCAACCGUAAAAUUGCCAUUGAUACUGUUAUUCUUGAGUAUGGUUGAGGUAGGCGGAAUGAGUAAUGUAGCGGUGAAAUGCUUAGAUAUUACUCAGAACACCGAUUGCGUAGGCAGCUUACCAAGCCAUCACUGACGCUGAGGCACGAAAGCGUGGGUAGCAAACAGGAUUAGAUACCCUGGUAGUCCACGCCGUAAACGUUGAUUACUCGUUGUUGGCAAUACACCGUCAGCGACUGAGCAAAAGCAUUAAGUAAUCCACCUGGGGAGUACGUCAGCAAUGAUGAAACUCAAAGGAAUUGACGGGGGCCCGCACAAGCGGAGGAACAUGUGGUUUAAUUCGAUGAUACGCGAGGAACCUUACCUGGGCUUAAAUGUUUAGUGACCGACCGGGAGACCGGUUUUUCCUUCGGGACACUUUACAAGGUGCUGCAUGGUUGUCGUCAGCUCGUGCCGUGAGGUGUCGGNUUAAGUCCCAUAACGAGCGCAACCCCUAUCGCCAGUUGCCAGCACAUAAUGGUGGGAACUCUGGUGAAACUGCCGGUGCAAACCGUGAGGAAGGUGGGGAUGACGUCAAAUCAGCACGGCCCUUAUGUCCAGGGCUACACACGUGUUACAAUGGUCGGUACAACAGGAUGCCAAUCCGCAAGGAUGAGCUAAUCCCAAAAGCCGAUCUUAGUUCGGAUCGGAGUCUGCAAUUCGACUCCGUGAAGUUGGAUUCGCUAGUAAUCGCAGAUCAGC
RNAcentral lists this ribosomal RNA (1165 nucleotides) under uncultured organism. RNAcentral's name for it is "bacterial SSU rRNA". It matches the Rfam family "Bacterial small subunit ribosomal RNA", at positions 182 to 1353 of the family's 1533-position model. The record is from RNAcentral.